This 705-nucleotide ribosomal RNA is filed under the name Kocuria sp. tz6. Its description in RNAcentral is "bacterial SSU rRNA". It matches the Rfam family "Bacterial small subunit ribosomal RNA", at positions 67 to 784 of the family's 1533-position model. Lineage: Bacteria; Bacillati; Actinomycetota; Actinomycetes; Micrococcales; Micrococcaceae. The record is from RNAcentral.
UGAUGCCCAGCUUGCUGCCGCGGAUUAGUGGCGAACGGGUGAGUAAUACAAUGAGUAACCUGCCCUUGACUCUGGGAUAAGCCUGGGAAACUGGGUCUAAUACUGGAUACUACCUCUUACCGCAUGGUGGGUGGUGGAAAGGGUUUUACUGGUUUUGGAUGGGCUCACGGCCUAUCAGCUUGUUGGUGGGGUAAUGGCUCACCAAGGCGACGACGGGUAGCCGGCCUGAGAGGGUGACCGGCCACACUGGGACUGAGACACGGCCCAGACUCCUACGGGAGGCAGCAGUGGGGAAUAUUGCACAAUGGGCGGAAGCCUGAUGCAGCGACGCCGCGUGAGGGAUGACGGCCUUCGGGUUGUAAACCUCUUUCAGUAGGGAAGAAGCGAGAGUGACGGUACCUGCAGAAGAAGCGCCGGCUAACUACGUGCCAGCAGCCGCGGUAAUACGUAGGGCGCAAGCGUUGUCCGGAAUUAUUGGGCGUAAAGAGCUCGUAGGCGGUUUGUCGCGUCUGCUGUGAAAGCCCGGGGCUCAACCCCGGGUCUGCAGUGGGUACGGGCAGACUAGAGUGCAGUAGGGGAGACUGGAAUUCCUGGUGUAGCGGUGAAAUGCGCAGAUAUCAGGAGGAACACCGAUGGCGAAGGCAGGUCUCUGGGCUGUUACUGACGCUGAGGAGCGAAAGCAUGGGGAGCGAACAGGAUUAGAUA